RNAcentral lists this transfer RNA (76 nucleotides) under Desulfovibrio sp. Its description in RNAcentral is "tRNA-Ala". It matches the Rfam family "tRNA". Rfam says of the family: Transfer RNA (tRNA) molecules are approximately 80 nucleotides in length. Their secondary structure includes four short double-helical elements and three loops (D, anti-codon, and T loops). Lineage: Bacteria; Pseudomonadati; Thermodesulfobacteriota; Desulfovibrionia; Desulfovibrionales; Desulfovibrionaceae. The record is from RNAcentral. RNAcentral also lists the same sequence under 1 other name.
GGGGAAGUAGCUCAGUUGGGAGAGCGCCGCAUUCGCAUUGCGGAGGUCGAGAGUUCAAAUCUCUUCUUCUCCACCA